Molecule: non-coding RNA, 1375 nt
Organism: Manis javanica (Malayan pangolin)
Lineage: Eukaryota; Metazoa; Chordata; Mammalia; Pholidota; Manidae
Source: RefSeq, a predicted model, not a curated record
UCAUAUUUAACUGGCAUGAUCUUGCCUUCCUGUGCAUAAGGAAAAAAGAAAUGCACUGAACAAAGAGGACAAAGUGCUAAGGUUCCCGUUUGCCUUAUAAAAACUUAAUGAGGGCACACACACACACACACACACACACACACACACACACACACACACAGACCUCAGGGUUCCCGUCUCUUUUUGUUUGUCACUGUCUUCACCCUAUCCCACAGCCCCCGGGCUUCCUUGCCUCUGGAUUACUGGAAUAUGUGAAAAUGAAUGUCCUGAGUGGAAGUGAAAAUUACUUGAUACCAGUUUUGAGAUUUAGGUUAAUCUGAUGUUUUUGAUCAAAGAUGUUUUUGAAGAAAAGCAAUUGAACGGACUCUGGCAUCCUAUAAAGGAUAGAGGAACCCUUCAUUUGAAGUGAAAAUCCUUUGGGGUUUUGUUCUGCAGCUUCUGAACAACAAUGGAGAAAGCAAGUGAUUGGUUCUUUAAUGUCUUAGUUCAAAGUAUUAUUUAACAUAAACCACUUCUACAUUUCCCAGCUAUAACAAAACACAUUUCAGAUGUUCCUCACAUCAAGCACACCACUGAGAUUUCAAAGCUAAACCCUGGAUUUUCUUCUACUGCGAGAUGCUGAGAAUGGUUUGAUAACCCAGGAGACACAUUUAUUUUGCCAGGUUGUUCCUUUCAUGUAUUUAUUAGUUUGCUAUAGGUUGGAGAAAUUAAAAUGUUUUCUUCUUAUUUUUAGCUAAAAGCAGCACUUCAUUUCUGCUUUUUCCCUCAGGCUUAUGGCUGCAUUAAAACAACUUAGAGUUAUUGGAAGAAGCUAACACUCAGGUUCACACUGGAAGAAUGGCUUUCCUUUCUGAAUGGCAAGGCUCAGGAGUUAAAAACUGAAACAUGAUCAGAGAAUGUUCAUGGACUGGAAUCUGGAGUGACCACGGCCUGGAAACCAUCUCCCAAGAGGGGAGGCCAGGAAAACCAGGAGCUGAAAAGAAAACUGAGGACAUGAUAGUCAGCUUCAGAAAUUCCCAGGGACUGGCCUCCAGGGAACCCUCAGCCACAGACUCCAGCCCCGGCUGACAGCUUGGCACUGAUUUUCCGCCGGGAGCACACCAGGCACACAGCCCGCUCUGUCCCAAGAGUGUUCACUUUCACCCUGCGGGUUCAUUUCAUGGACUUAAGCUACUGCCCAAGAUUGGGCCAAGAUGUGGUUGUCAUGGCAACAGCACCCUCGCCUACCUAAGAAUGAUUCCUUUCUCUCCCAGAGUUCAGGAAAAGUCAGCAGACUUUUACUGAAGUGGCAUGGCCAGUAGGCAGAAGGCUCCAGAUUAAAGUUUUUGAGUUUGAAUUGCAGCUUCAACAUAUGCUAAAUGUACGUCCUCAGGCA